This 269-nucleotide ribosomal RNA is filed under the name uncultured prokaryote. RNAcentral describes it as "partial 16S ribosomal RNA". It matches the Rfam family "Bacterial small subunit ribosomal RNA", at positions 524 to 792 of the family's 1533-position model. The record is from RNAcentral.
UACGGAGGAUCCGAGCGUUAUCCGGAUUUAUUGGGUUUAAAGGGUGCGCAGGCGGGAGAUUAAGUCGGCGGUGAAAUUUUGCAUCUCAACUGUAAAAGUGCCUUCGAAACUGGUUUCCUUGAGUGUGGAUGAAGUAGGCGGAAUUUGUGGUGUAGCGGUGAAAUGCAUAGAUAUCACGAGGAACUCCGAUUGCGCAGGCAGCUUACUAAACCAUAACUGACGCUCAGGCACGAAGGCGUGGGGAUCAAACAGGAUUAGAUACCCCUGUA